RNAcentral lists this long non-coding RNA (5727 nucleotides) under Podarcis lilfordi (Lilford's wall lizard). Lineage: Eukaryota; Metazoa; Chordata; Lepidosauria; Squamata; Lacertidae. The record is from RNAcentral.
AGCUCAGCCAGAAACUUGCUGUGUGCAGUCGAGCGGGAGGGUCGCAUCCCAUAAUGUGACAAGGCAGGCAGCGCACCGGCAGGUUCUGGUGGCGGGCAGCUGAAGCUGCUGGCUGCUGGUGACAGUGACAGUUGGAUGCUGUACGUUAGUAAGCCAGCGCUGAAAGGGCAAGGAAGAAGAGAAACAGCAGCUUGAGAAGUUGGAGGGCAUCAGCAGGGGGCACCACAGUAGAGGCAACACAGGCUAUGGCAAUUCAGGGUCACAUCAACGUGGCACCAGACUCCUACCUUUUGAACGAGGGCAGGUGCUGCUAUAUGUUUGUUACAGCACAUGGGGAUAACCCAACAGUUAUGAAGUCCAAGGUUGUGCCACACUUUAAAAGGCAUGAAACUGGCAAUGAUUUAGUUUACUUGAUGUGCUUUUCGUCUGGGUGGCAUUUUUGCAUUCUCUGUCUUGAGCUGCCUCUGAGAACAGAGGUGAAGAACCUUUCUGGCAGGUUGAGAGGUGUCAAGUUCCUGAAUGCUGAAAAAAAGCAACAAUUUGGAAGUCUUGCAGUCUUUUUUUACAUUUCUUCUGGCAAGGCUCUGGUGCCCUAAAACAGCUCCGUGUCAGCCAGAAAUUCAGUAGGUGAGGCUCCUCUCAGCAUGAGGAAUGCUUAUUGAAUUUUUCUCUAUGGUGCAGCUAAGGAAGGUUCCAGAAACUGCCAGAGCAAGGCAGCAACCCUAACUUUCCAGAAGGGCCAUAGCUCAGUGGUUGUGGCACCUGCUUUACUUGUGUAAAGUCCCCAUCAUCUCUUGUCAAAAAUAUUGGGUAACCCUGCCUAACAUGUCGGGACAGACAUUACAGCAUUGGACUGUCCACUGGUUUGACUCAUGAAGUUGCUUCUUUAUAUCUGCUAACAAACCAGAUCCUGAAGCCAGAUGCAGGUGGGGGCGAGGAGUUGAGUGUUAGUGAAGAUAGUUGUGGAGUGGGGCACUUCCUCCUUGGUUAGAAGCCACCUGGCUAGUCAAAAGACCUGCACAAAUAAUUUGCCAGGGUGGUUUGCUUUCCAUCUUGGGCUUUUCCUUUCAGCUCAGCCUCAGCUUUCUCUUAUUUAUAAUGCCUGUAACACUUUUCAACGUAGGAUGGGAUUUGCAGUUGUCAGCUCAUAACAACAGCCCCGUGAAGCCAAGUUGUUAGGCUGAGAGAGUGUGUCUUUCCCAAGGUCACACAGUGAGCUUCAUGGCAGAGCAAGGAGCUGAAAUAGUGCUUCACACCCAAGGCUGUGUACAAAUAAUAAUUCCUGAAGAGCAGGUGUAGGGAUGUGUUUGUGUGUAUUCAUAGAAUCGUGUGUGUGUGUGUGUGUGUGUGUGUGUGUGUGAGAAAGAGAGAGAGAGAGAGAGAGACAGACAGACAGACAGAAAGACUUUCCUCUUAAAGCAGUCUUUCCCGACACUAGCUCCAAUCCCACUGCUGCACAAAUGUGACAAACUCUUAUGAUACCCUUGGCCAGGCUUUCUGUAUUGCCAAAUCAGCACCAGUGAAUUCCCACUCACUCACACCUGGGCAUCAGGUAUGUGCCCAGCCUCAUCUAUCCCAAGCUGCAAGCAAAUUUCUCUCAAAAUUUGUACUUGUGGGGAACUGCAGCAGUGCCUGCCUCAGUCCCAGAGCCCUUUCAAGCAUGUGACCAUUAGAUAAAGAAUCGGUAUCUCUGUAGAGUCAGUACCCUAAAGCUGACAGCUUACCUCAGUGUCCUACUUCAUGAGCACAAUGAGAUUUUUUUGUCCAAUUAGGGUAAACCAAAAAAGAGUUUUGUUAGGAUAGGAAUGACCGGUUGGAUAAAGAGUAAGAGGAAUACAGAACAAAGUUGCUGAACAAAAUAAAAUACAAUUUCUAGUUUAUACUCGUGCUCCAGUAGUUACCUUCCAAUGCAACUGAUUUGUGUAUGUGUGCUUGUGUGAGUGGGACCCAAAUUCCCUCUUUUAAGGUAAAGAUCAAUCCCUUCCAAGUUUUAAAAGCCCUCCCCAGUUAUCUCAACAUAGAGUGGUUUUUUUGAAACCAGCCUGUAACAUACUGAGUUAAUUUAGGAGGUUUUCCUAAGGACUGCUGGUGAUGUCUUAGUGGUAGAACUCCUGCUUUUCAUGCAGACGUUCUGCGGUUCAGCUCCUAGUGUCUUGAGACCUUGGCAAGCUGCUGGGAGUCAAUAGUAUACAGUACUAAACUAAAUGAGUCCAUGGCAGUUUCACACAUCAGUGAUCGCUAGCUUUGAGGAGAGUCCUGGGCAAACAAUCCUCUGGUAAGCCCCUACCUCUGUCAGUGAGCCCUGGCAAGCUUAGGAGCCUGUAUCCCUUCCAAGCAGUUGCGGGCAACUGGGUCUCUCAGCCCUUUAGUUUUCCCACAAUGCUCCAGAGCAACGUUGGGUUGAGAGCAGAGUGGCUCGAUCUAGCCUUUUGUUGCUCAGAGUCCCUCAAAGGACACUGAGAGGGUGGACAUCUACAUUGGGAUCCCUGCACAGGGGACCUGGCAGCUGCCCAAGGAUGUCAGGUGCUGGCAGCAGACUAGUGGCUCCAGCUCCUGCUGCUGUCUCAGUAGGAACAUAGGAAGUUGCCUUAUACCAGAUCAGGCCAUUGGUCCAUCGAGCCCAGUAUUCUCUAUUCUGAUUGGCAGUGGCUCUUUACGGUUUCUGGUGAAGGUCUUCCCAAGCCUGUGUUCCACUCCAGAGUCAUGAUCUCUGCAGGAGAUCUCUCCCCUCCAAAGUUGGCCAUGUGGACUUCCUUUUGCCCCCUUUGCUACUCUCCUUCUGAAUUUCCCUAGUUUAACUUGUUUAAUCUAGCAUUCCUUCUUCUGCCAAAGGGCAAAAAUAUGCCUUGGUCCCCAUUCCCAGUGUGUAGGCCAGACAAUGACUUCACCAUUGUUGUUCAAAUGCAGGCUUCUUGCCCACCUGCGUUGGCAAGGAACCUUAUCAAUUAAGGAGAAAGGCUGGAUUCAUCCAGCCACCUGGGAUUGCUCCAUUGCCAAUUCAUUGUUUGGGGUGGGGGUAGGGCAAGGGCAUGUUAUGGGGGAACGUGAAUGGGGAGCACUCCAAACUAGCUCCCUGUUCAGUUUUAUUACGUUUAAAAAUGCAUUUUCAUGUCAGUAAUUGGAUCUAAACAAUCUGAUCUGUGUCAGUGAGAAGCUGUCCUGGAUUCUGCCCCAUCCCAGCCUCACCAUCUCCAUUGAAGUGGCAGUUCUUUUUCUGUGGUGCUGGAAAAUACGGGGCAAUGACCAGAAUGGAAAUUAGGGACUUCACUGCAGGUCUCAGCCACUGGGUGGCACUCUAAUUUCACAACUGCAAGGCGGCUGAAAAGGGUUGAACUCACAGCCCUGUGCCUGCCGCAGCAGUGGCAGCUGGCUGUUUGGAACCUCUGCAGAGCCAGUGCGUCCGGGACAAAAGUCCCAUCCGUCUAGAUUAUGGGCCAAUUCUAAUCAUAGCUCCUCCUCCUUCCCCACUGCCAUAGUCCCAAACCUGAGUUAUUCCUCCCCCUCCUUCAACUCCCACAAGCCUUCCUCUGUUAUCUCAGCCUGGGGUAUUUUACAGAAGCCAGCCUGUAGCAUACUGGGUUAAUUUAACGGGCUCCCCUUGGGACUUCGGGCCUGUUUAUGUUGUAGCUUUUCCGCUGAUUUCCCAAUUUGAUAUGAAAGCUAAAUUAAGCAGUGGCAUGGCUUGCGGGUCUCGCCCGCUGCAUACCAGGGAGGCGUUGGCACCUCGUGGGUUUGCUGCAGGCCUCCCAUGGGACUUGCCACCUGUCAGGGCUGCAGUCAGCAUGAAAAUUAACACUAGUCACUGAACGCUCCGAAAGCAAGAGGGGGAAAUGAAAAGGAGCUGUCCUGAUUCAGGGUAGCGCACGACAGGAUGGGGAGAAGGGUGAAAGGGCUAUGGGCUUGAGGGCAUCAGAAGACUUUAAAAAGCAUGGGAGUUUAAAAAGGUGGGGGAAGAAAAAUCAGACUUAUGGUUCAGCUGAGUGAGCUACCCUGCCAUAGAAAAGUCCAUAGGACGAUGUUCAAAGGUGAAAAGGCAUCACUCAUGGCCCGUGAGCCAGCAAAACGAGCAGAGGCAGAUUGCGGGGGCAGCCCAUCUGCUUUUGUCACUGCUACAUCACCAGAUGCUUUUUCUGCAUCAGCCUUCCCCAGCCUGGGCACAAAUGGUAUCUGGAAGGCUCCGGGUUGGGAAAGGCUGUUCUAGAUGUCCUGUCACAGGAGGUCAAAGCCUUUACUUGGCAAAAGAGAAGGUCUGAGAGGGAACAGGGCAAGGGCACUAUCAAGCCAUAGGAGAGACAGUUCAUCCACCCUCUGUCCUAAAGGCUCAUUAGCCCUUGCAGAGCUAGCUAGCUACACACCUGCAGCCUUCAGCCUUCAGCCUGACCAAGCCUUAAGAGCAGUGCUUGAGACCCAUCAGGCUGAUUAAUAUGAAGGGGGAGGGCUUUCUCAGUGGCGAUCCCACACCUUGGAAACUUCCCACCCACAGAGAUUCAUAGAGCCUCGUUGCUGCUGGUCUCUCUCACCCAAUUCCCCCAAACCUCUGAAGCCUCAUUUAUUCAAGUCUGCAUUAGCUGAAAUGUGCUGUACGUGGAAAAAAUCUUUAGCUGCUGGUUGGUGUGUGUGUGUUUGCAAUUGUAUUUUUGUGUGCUUUACAGUUUUGUAACCUGUCUUUGUGCCUUGAAACGUUGGUCAAAAGGUUGCGUAGCGCAAUCUUGGGUUAUAACCAAGUUUCUUAAUGCAAAAAUGGAAGACACUGGGAGCAGCUUGCCUUGAAGUAACAUGUCAAGUAAAGUCCUGUUUCUCAACAGCUAUCCUGGAUCCUCACACAGUGGCUGAUUUGAUAUCAUACUUUUAACAUGAGGGCUGUGUUAUGGCUUGAUUUUGUGUCUGUGUGUGUUUUGCUAUAAAUUCCUGUGCAUUUGUUACAUUGGUAGCAUGUAUGUUGUCUAGGUGUCAUUGUGUGUCUUGGUGUUGCAUGGCUGUGAUGCAUUUCUGGCUGUUUUCUUAUAGCCACCAUGCCGCUGUAAAUGUGUGUGACCAUUAUGAUGGUAUUUGUGGUAUAUUAUGAAAUGUUUGCAGUAGUACUGAUGUGUGAGUGUGUUCUUCCCCAAAGUUAUUUUCUGUGCCCGUAUUGUGUAAUUUUGAUGGAUGAUGCCUUUAUGUGGCUGGUAUAUUCGGAGGCUGUAUUUGUGUAUCAUGCAUAUGGUCAUUUCCACAGCCAUUUUCUAGGCAUGAAAUAGGCAUUGGGAACACGUGUGCUACAUAUUUGUGUUGGUGUUUACAUAUAUUCCCGCAGUCACAUUGAGGUGCGUAGUAGACACCUCUUCAAAGAGAGACCUUAUCUAGUACAUCAUUGUGUCUGCUGUGAUUUCUUUGUAUGUGUCUGAUGGGACUAAGGUGCCACUAUACCCAAAUGUGUGUGAUUUUAGUGGUGUUGCAGACUAGUGUGUAACUGAGCUGAGUUUCAUUCUCAUUUGCACCUGGAGGCUUCCAGGGAGCUGAGAUGCAGCUGACUCUGGGGAGAUGGCAGCAGCUAUUUGUACGGGAAUCCCACCCCUCAUCGCCAGGCUCUCUACGAAAUAACUGCAAUGUUCAGCUGCAUCAGCAGGGAGAGAAUGACUGAGGGAAUCAUUUUCUGUCUCUGAGCUGAUAAUAACGUGGCAUCAUGCAGCCAAGAAGUGUGGAGAUCCUGGAGAUUAAAUCAGAAAAGGGGAGGGGGAGAGACGAGAC